CCUACGGGCGGCAGCAGUGAGGAAUAGUGGUCAAUGGCCGGAAGGCUGAACCAGCCAAGUAGCGUGAGGGAAGACUGCCCUAUGGGUUGUAAACCUCUUUUAUGCGGGGAUAAAGGUGGCCACGUGUGGAUGUUUGCAGGUACCGCAUGAAUAAGGACCGGCUAAUUCCGUGCCAGCAGCCGCGGUAAGACGGAAGGUCCGGGCGUUAUCCGGAUUUAUUGGGUUUAAAGGGAGCGUAGGCCGGUCUUUAAGCGUGCCGUGAAAUUUUGUGGCUCAACCAUGAGAGUGCGGCGCGAACUGGCGCCCUUGCGUGCGCGGACGGCAGGCGGCAUUCGUGGUGUAGCGGUGCACUGCUUAGAUAUCACGAAGACCCCCGAUUGCGAAGGCAGCCUGCCGCAGCGUUACUGACGCUGAAGCUCGAAAGCGCGGGUAUCGAACAGGAUUAGAUACCCGUGUAGUC
RNAcentral lists this ribosomal RNA (460 nucleotides) under uncultured bacterium. RNAcentral's name for it is "partial 16S ribosomal RNA". It matches the Rfam family "Bacterial small subunit ribosomal RNA", at positions 338 to 795 of the family's 1533-position model. The record is from RNAcentral.